GCGCGAGUGGCGGAAUAGGUAGACGCGCUGGCUUCAGGUGCCAGUGUUCGAAAGGACGUGGGGGUUCAAGUCCCCCCUCGCGCA
This 84-nucleotide transfer RNA is filed under the name Micrococcus sp. RNAcentral's name for it is "tRNA-Leu". It matches the Rfam family "tRNA". From Rfam's summary of the family: Transfer RNA (tRNA) molecules are approximately 80 nucleotides in length. Their secondary structure includes four short double-helical elements and three loops (D, anti-codon, and T loops). The record is from RNAcentral. Lineage: Bacteria; Bacillati; Actinomycetota; Actinomycetes; Micrococcales; Micrococcaceae. RNAcentral also lists the same sequence under 11 other names.